GGAAGUCUAAAGAACUGCUUAUUGAAAGAUCCCAAAGGUGACACAGAUGCAUGAGGGAAAGUAUUUAGCUUUGAUAAUUAAUGAUGUUUGAGUAUUUACAGUGGCUUUACAAACAACAAGCUGUUGAUUAUGAGUCCCUCUCCAGAGGAGAAUUUCUGCUUCUACCUGGGAUCUACAGGGUGGCUGUUUGUCAACUUGGUAUCAUCCCUAUCUCUUGCCAGGGUAGUUCUGGUUCACGUUCUGCCAAAGAAAAGAAUUUGUUUGGCGCUUGGAAGGGGAAAUAAUAGGAAAAGCCAACAUUCCCUGGUAACAGCUAUGGACAGAAGUGGGAACUGUUGGCAGGCAUGAGGUUGUCACGGCUUCUGGGUAAACUACUGCUUUGGGGGCUGCAGGUGGCUGCGAGUGGACAGUAGCAGCUUCCCUGCUAUUCCUGGAAUGCCUGCAGUUCCUUACCUUCUCGUUCCUCUGGAUUUCCCGAAAGCCCUGCUGAACAUUCUGCCUGUUCUUCAUCCUUCCUACCCUUCCAAAUGUCAUGUAGGUUUCUAAUUCCCUGAAUUAAAUCCCCUCUACUUGAAAUGUCUC
This 582-nucleotide long non-coding RNA is filed under the name Vulpes vulpes (red fox). RNAcentral describes it as "lncRNA (ENSVVUG00000022058.1)". The record is from RNAcentral. Lineage: Eukaryota; Metazoa; Chordata; Mammalia; Carnivora; Canidae.